RNAcentral lists this ribosomal RNA (322 nucleotides) under uncultured eukaryote. RNAcentral describes it as "partial 18S ribosomal RNA". It matches the Rfam family "Eukaryotic small subunit ribosomal RNA", at positions 1470 to 1796 of the family's 1831-position model. The record is from RNAcentral.
CCCUUAGAUGUUCUGGGCUGCACGCGCGCUACACUGAUGCGUUCAACGAGUGUAUCACCUUGCCCGAUAGGGUUGGGUAAUCUUUUGAACACGCAUCGUGAUGGGGAUAGAUUAUUGCAAUUAUUAAUCUUCAACGAGGAAUUCCUAGUAAUGAUGGAUCAUCAGUUCAUCGUGAUUACGUCCCUGCCCUUUGUACACACCGCCCGUCGCACCUACCGAUUGAAUGGUCCGGUGAAAUCUCGGGACGGCGGCUUGGUCGCUUGCGUCCGACUGCUGAAACUUGAUUAAACCAUAUCAUUUAGAGGAAGGUGAANUCGUANCA